AGUUUGAUCCUGGCUCAGAGCGAACGCUGGCGGCAGGCUUAACACAUGCAAGUCGAGCGGGCCCUUCGGGGUCAGCGGCGGACGGGUGAGUAACGCGUGGGAACGUGCCCUCUGGUUCGGAAUAACUCAGGGAAACUUGAGCUAAUACCGGAUACGCCCUUUUGGGGAAAGGCUUGCUGCCGGAGGAUCGGCCCGCGUCUGAUUAGCUAGUUGGUGGGGUAAAGGCCUACCAAGGCGACGAUCCAUAGCUGGUCUGAGAGGAUGAUCAGCCACACUGGAACUGAGACACGGUCCAGACUCCUACGGGAGGCAGCAGUGGGGAAUAUUGGACAAUGGGCGAAAGCCUGAUCCAGCCAUGCCGCGUGGGUGAAGAAGGCCUUCGGGUUGUAAAGCCCUUUUGUUGGGAAAGAAAAGCAGUCGGUUAAUACCCGAUUGUUCUGACGGUACCCAAAGAAUAAGCACCGGCUAACUUCGUGCCAGCAGCCGCGGUAA
Molecule: ribosomal RNA, 492 nt
Filed under: uncultured bacterium
Lineage: Bacteria
Description: bacterial SSU rRNA
Rfam family: Bacterial small subunit ribosomal RNA
Source: RNAcentral